Molecule: non-coding RNA, 72 nt
Organism: Paramuricea clavata
Lineage: Eukaryota; Metazoa; Cnidaria; Anthozoa; Malacalcyonacea; Plexauridae
Source: the annotation of a GenBank genome assembly
GGCGAGAUGGUCUAGUGGUAAGGACGAAGUGUUUCAAGUGUGUAAAGCCAGGAUCGAUUCCUGGUUGUGACG